RNAcentral lists this ribosomal RNA (512 nucleotides) under Megaselia parva. RNAcentral describes it as "partial 16S ribosomal RNA". The stretch from base 385 to 512 matches the Rfam family "Bacterial large subunit ribosomal RNA", at positions 2473 to 2600 of the family's 2925-position model. The record is from RNAcentral. Lineage: Eukaryota; Metazoa; Arthropoda; Insecta; Diptera; Phoridae.
UUUUAGAAUUUAAUUUAAAGUCUAACCUGCCCACUGAUUAAUUUUAAAUGGCCGCAGUAUUUUAACUGUGCAAAGGUAGCAUAAUCAUUAGUCUUUUAAUUGAAGGCUGGAAUGAAUGGUUGGAUGAAAUAUUAACUGUUUCAUAAAAAUUUAUAAUAGAAUUUUAUUUUUUAGUUAAAAAGCUAAAAUUUAAUUAAAAGACGAGAAGACCCUAUAAAUCUUUAUAUUUUAAUAAUUUUAAUUAUAUUGAAAAAUUAAAUUAUAAUUAUUUUAAAUAUUUUAUUGGGGUGAUAUUAAAAUUUAAUAAACUUUUAAUUUAUAUUAUACAUAAAUUAAUGAAUUAUUGAUCCAUUUAUUAUGAUUAAAAAAUUAAGUUACUUUAGGGAUAACAGCGUAAUUUUUUUAGAGAGUUCAUAUUGAUAAAAAAGAUUGCGACCUCGAUGUUGGAUUAAGAUAUAAUUUUAGGUGCAGUAGCUUAAAUUUAAAGUCUGUUCGACUUUUAAAUUCUUACA